ACUCUUAAAAACAAAGAACAGAACCUUAAAACCUAAAAUGAACAGGCASCCAGUGGAGGUGAUAGGCUCCCUCUACAAACUCCAGUUAGCAGUUACAAAGCAAAAAACUACAUGCAAAUCUCUCUGCUCAAGUUCAAAACUUACAUUACUUCGUUCACCAUCCAUGGAAGGAGAAACAAAAACAUGAGGACUAAAAGGAGGAAUGGUGUGGACUUCUUCUGCCUGGCACAUUUUUUUAAACUUCUCUGCACGUGGCAGCGUGCACAGCUACAGUGCAGGUGUACAACCAGGAAGUGUUCAUCAUUAAAGUCAAGGUAAGAACCACAUAGAUAGUGGAAAGACAUGGAAACCUGAUGUUUUGACUUGGAUGUUUACAGAAAUAUUCAUUUAUCACAUUAAUGUAUUGUUGACUGAAUAAUGAAGCAGCACUCAGAUGACAGUAAAAUAAACUCAUCACAACAUUUAAAGACAGUGAAAAUAAAUGUUUGGGUCAGAUACAGAGAUACUGAAUAUUUAAUGUUUAUUACAUCAUGUCCAGAAAUAUAUUUGUGCUCCAGCACUUGCUCUAAAAUAUAUCAGCUCAUAAUUAUUUCUGAUACAAAACUCUUUCUGCC
This is a long non-coding RNA of Austrofundulus limnaeus, 614 nucleotides long. RefSeq lists it as uncharacterized. The record is from RefSeq and is a predicted model, not a curated record. The transcript is spliced from 3 exons. Lineage: Eukaryota; Metazoa; Chordata; Actinopteri; Cyprinodontiformes; Rivulidae.